GACUACCGGGGUAUCUAAUCCUGUUUGAUACCCACACCUUCGAGCUUCAGCGUCAGUUGCGGCCCAGUAAGCUGCCUUCGCAAUCGGAGUUCUUCGUCAUAUCUAUGCAUUUCACCGCUACACGACGAAUUCCGCCUACCUCUUACGCACUCAAGAACACCAGUUUCAACUGCAGUGCAGAUGUUGAGCAUCUACAUUUCACAGCUGACUUGAUAUCCCGCCUACGCUCCCUUUAAACCCAAUAAAUCCGGAUAACGCUCGGAUCCUCCGUAUUACCGCGGCUGCUGGCACGGAGUUAGCCGAUCCUUAUUCUUAUGGUACAUGCACGCAACCACACGUGGAUACCGUUAUUCCCAUAAAAAAGAAGUUUACAACCCAUAGGGCCGUCAUCCUUCACGCUACUUGGCUGGUUCAGCCUUUCGGCCAUUGACCAAUAUUCCUCACUGCAGCCCCCCGUAGG
RNAcentral lists this ribosomal RNA (460 nucleotides) under uncultured Bacteroidales bacterium. Its description in RNAcentral is "partial 16S ribosomal RNA". Lineage: Bacteria; Pseudomonadati; Bacteroidota; Bacteroidia; Bacteroidales. The record is from RNAcentral.